AGAAAGUAGCAGUCAUAUGAGUUUAACUCUCCCCAACUAUCAGCAAUGGCUUGGCUUGUCUAUAAAUCAGAGUAAUGUGAGCUUAUAGUCUGGUAUCCCACAAUAUGCCUGAGCUCACACAAGCAUUUUACACAAUUUUAUGCCUGUUCUGAGUUAAAGCAUCUAUUUAUAGUUUUAAAUUAUUCAUAUCAGAUCAUGAGCAAUCACUGUGCGGAGUGGAAUCCAUCAGUCAUAGAUGUUGGACCACUGAGGUGGACAGAGAUUCAGCAAUUCAAGGAAGAGAUAGGAAACAGAUUUUUUCAGUGUAUUUUAUUAAGUGCCGCAGAUGACUCCAUGACAUAUUACCCAGGUGCUGAGAAUGCUGUAGCAUAACAAUUGUCCCAGCACAAUGGGAAGGUUAAAGUCAGAAGUAUUUUUACAAAAUUAUACUAUUAUUCUGUAAUUGAUUUGGGGAUUCUAGUAAUUUAGUUCGUAGAGAUUUUAAGUUUGUAUACAGUCUAAAUUAUUUGCAUAUCCAAUGGACAGAUGAUUCACCAUCACUAUCAUGCUGCCAUGCUUGGCCCUAUGAAGACAUCCUUGGCACCCAUGCAUAAACCUUCCAAUAUUCAAUUCAACUUUAAAACACACUUUCUUUACAUAGUAAGAACAGUAAAAACAUUCAGGAAGACAAGAUUUCACUUAUUUUAUCACCCUGCCUACUGCAUUCUUCUGCAGCUUGCAAGAAUAAGAUAUGAAGACCCUCCAGCUUCAACAUCAAUCACUCUUUCUUCUCAAUAUCCAUACAAAGGCACUGGAGAAAAUUAUGAGACAUCAUCUAAAAUACCAACAACGUGGAUCACUUUCUGUCCCAAUGGAUUCUCUAGCUGGCCUGAAAGUUGAGGAGCUCAGUUUCAUACUGACCACGCAGAGGAAAAAAGCUGCCCAAGUAAGAGCCUACCAGCCAUGCCUCUAAAACCAUACCACCACACUCACCAGAGGCUGCAGAGGGAGGAACCUUGACUAUCAGAAGAGGAAGGAAGCCUAAGUAGCAUCUGUACAUGGCAAAGGAAAAGUCACACUAUGAUUUUUCAAAGGCUUUAAGGGAUUUUCAGAGACCCUUUGCACCCAGGACUCAUGCUUUACCUUGUGUCUAUAAACCAACAUCAUACUGCUAGGCAGUGCUUUAGAAGCUGGCUCAGAGGGAAGAAGUGGCACAGCUGUAAUCACAGCUGAACUCUGUAGCACCUGGAAGUCCUGGAAACUCGCCACCUCCUGCCAAUAAGACCUGGCUCAGCUGGUUUUAUGAGCUCUGACAAGAUCUCAGCCUGGUGCAAUGUUGCUGUGAAUGUCAGUAAUGUAACCCUUGUAGCAGAAGCAUAAGGAGAUUUUCCUAUUUUUUCGUUGGUCUUUAUUGAGCUCAGUUGAUGAGGCUGACAAAAAUGUGAAAGGGACACAUACCACAGUGUGCAUGGAUGUCUGAUCGUAUGAACAGUAUUUUGAAGAGCAGACAGAAUGCUUAGAUGAGAGAUUCUUUGUUGUUCUAAGGAUGUGAAAGCGUCCCUGUGCUGACCUCUUGUUUUUGCUUUCUAAGGUCAGUUGUUCUUCUGUUGCAAUUCAUAUUACAUAUUUUCCUUCUUAUAAAGAUGUGAAGCUCACAUAAUUGAAAACUACUCAUUUUUUUUUAACCUUUUAAACCUUCUCUGUCCAGUGAUAUGAUUAGAUCAUGAUAUGUAAUAAGUAAACAAGCCUCUCAUGAGUUGUGUUGGUGACUUUGAGCAGAACAUGGGCUGUAGAUCAGACAUCCUGUGGGUGACAGCAUAAAGGACAUAAACCAUCUGGGUAAGAUGUUUUCAAAGAAUACUGUCAAGAUCAAAAAGAAAUGCAAAGAAGAGAGUUCUUUUGCCAGAUAACUUAUAAAUCACAAUCUCAGUCCAUAAAUAUUUUUAGCACCUGCAUCUCAUCGCUUCCCAAACACCUACAGGUACUAAAGCUUUCCUUAAUCAAAGUUAAAAAUUUUGUGUCUGAAGAGUGAUGCUAGCUCUGGGUUCAAACAAAACAAAGAGUUGCCAAAGGCAAAAAAAAAAACAGUUUUUUUUUUUUUUUUUUUGAUUGGUCAGUAUUGUGUCAUACAGUGAAGGGGAAAAAAAUAUGAGCCUGCUUCAAUAUCCCAAAUUGGUUCUCCCAUAUUUUCCAUCUUUGUGCUCAGCAUCAACCUCCUCUGACACAGUGUCAUUGGGCCCUUUGGGACAUCCGGUCAUACAGGUGGCUAAAAGCCUGGUGAGAAUUUCAAACAACCAGUCAGCAUGGUGCAAGUAGGCAAAUCAAGUGUUGUCAUAGAUUAGGAGUGACCUCACUGCCCUAUUAGAAGAACAAGGAUGAAAAAGAGCCUUACAAGCCAUAAAUGCUGGCAAAUUGGGACGUUUGUCUGAAUUUCUGGUAAGUAGCCAUUAAAGAGCAGAGGAAGGAAAGGAUCAGCUGGGAUUUUCAGAGGGGCUAUUGUUUUAAGAAUCCUUUGCUAAACUGAUUAAGUUAAAUUCCUUCUUUCUUUUAUAUCCAGCUUAAACUGACUUCCCUGAAAUACAGAAAACUAAAACCUAUGUUCAGUCAUACUUGAUUGAUACCGGUCAGUCUGGUAUGGGAAAUUAACCAUACUUUAAAAAAUGUUCUACAGCAGCUCCUUUUGGGAAAGAAAAACAGAAGUAGGGGAGGAAGAUAAAUAAUAAAGAAAACUGCACUUUUAUUCUGCUUUUAGGUGAGUUGCCCUUGGUUGCAGAACUAUAGGAAGGGUGACAUUGUAGCCUAUGCUUAUAAAGGAUCCUCAGAACUUCUCCUGGUAAGAUUGCAUGUUUGAAAGAUACAGAAUCUGUGCUUCUUAAUUCAUCAGUUAUUUCUUAUGGUGAUUUGGUUUUUAGAAAAAAGUAUAUACAGAAAGAUUCUCAGCAAAGCCUAUGAUUAAAUGACCCCCAAAUAGACAUAAUACAGCAAGAGUAAUACAUUUUUAUACAUUAUAAUCAAAUACUGUGUCUAAGGGAAAGAGGUUUUAUCUUCUGUGAAAUACAGGACUUGGAAUCAGGAAUUCUGGGGUUAUCUCCUGUCUUUGUUAGUGACAUAACUGAAACAGUUCAUAUUGGUUGGAUAUGUGGAUACAGUGAUUAUUUCUGCUGAAGUUCUCCAGAACAACAAGUACUGCCUGCAUCAGUGGUGUCUGCAGCCAGGCCUAGAAAGUCUUUGGCAGAAGAAAACCCCAGCAUUGUUCUACUUGCCCAGGAAAAAAACCAACACCCUCAUGACCUGCAGUGAGUGACUGAGUUUCUACCUGUCUUCUUCUCCUCUUUGCUGGAAUUAAUGUUGAACUUUGCAAUACUCAGAAAUUCGGGGUUAAAUCAGUUUGGCUGUUUCACGAGCAAAGAUGUUGUUUUAUUUUGUUUGCUAAAUAAAGAAAUUCAGAUUUAUUUAACACACAAAAAUGUGGAGAGAGGGGAAAAGAAAAUCCUACCUUAGCUAUGCAAGAUGAGUUAUCUCACUCCACAGGCCAGAAAUCUAGUAGAAUGGCUUGCCCGAGGAUCAGCAAUGAGUUUGUAGCAAUACCAUAUCUCCUGAGUGCCUGAGCUGCAAGAUUAUCCUUCACCAAUGCCAGCUGUCAUUUUAAUACAGAGAAGUAUCUUAUUUUUUUAGAUACAUAAAUGAUUCAUACUAAUAUCAGAAGGAAUUAACUUUCACAGAGAAAAACACUUUCCUUCAAAAUGGUUCAAAAUACAUGUUUGCAAUGAGUGAACUACCACUGCCUUUGGAAAGGCUGGUUUCUUGUCAUUAACUUCUUAGUAGAAAUUAAAAUCAUCCUAUGCUACGCCAAUGCUUUCUGUAUCUUAUCUCUGUAACAACAGAUCAAUAAAAAAAAAAUACUAGAGUUUGCAAUAACAAACUAAA
Molecule: long non-coding RNA, 3906 nt
Organism: Gallus gallus (chicken)
Lineage: Eukaryota; Metazoa; Chordata; Aves; Galliformes; Phasianidae
Exons: 3
Source: RefSeq, a predicted model, not a curated record